Molecule: transfer RNA, 75 nt
Filed under: Odontobutis haifengensis
Lineage: Eukaryota; Metazoa; Chordata; Actinopteri; Gobiiformes; Odontobutidae
Description: tRNA-Lys
Source: RNAcentral
CGCCAGGAAGCUAAACAUAGGCACAGCGUUAACCUUUUAAGUUAAAGAUUGGUGUCUCCUGACCACCCCUAGCGA